This 253-nucleotide ribosomal RNA is filed under the name uncultured bacterium. Its description in RNAcentral is "partial 16S ribosomal RNA". It matches the Rfam family "Bacterial small subunit ribosomal RNA", at positions 524 to 776 of the family's 1533-position model. The record is from RNAcentral.
UACAGAGGGUGCAAGCGUUAAUCGGAAUUACUGGGCGUAAAGCGUGCGUAGACGGUUGCGUAAGUCAGAUGUGAAAGCCCCGGGCUCAACCUGGGAAUUGCAUUUGAGACUGCGUAGCUAGGGUGCGGAAGAGGGAAGUGGAAUUCCCGGUGUAGUGGUGAAAUGCGUAGAUAUCGGGAGGAACACCAGUGGCGAAGGCGACUUCCUGGCCUGUUCUUGACGCUGAGGCGCGAAAGCUAGGGGAGCAAACGGG